Molecule: ribosomal RNA, 404 nt
Filed under: uncultured prokaryote
Also listed under: 1 other name
Description: bacterial SSU rRNA
Rfam family: Bacterial small subunit ribosomal RNA
Source: RNAcentral
UGGGGAAUAUUAGUAAUGGGCGAAAGCCUGAACUAGCAACGCCGCGUGUGCGAAGAAGGCCUUCGGGUUGUAAAGCACUUUUUGAGAGGAUGAGGAAGGACGGUACUCUCAGAAUAAGUCUCGGCUAACUACGUGCCAGCAGCCGCGGUAACACGUAGGAGGCAAACGUUAUCCGGAUUUACUGGGCGUAAAGCGCGUGUAGGUGGUUUGGUAAGUAGGGCGUGAAAGCUCCUGGCUCAACUGGGAGAGGACGUUCUAAACUGCCAAGCUUGAGGAUGGUAGAGGGAGGUGGAAUUCCGGGUGUAGCGGUGGAAUGCGCAGAUAUCCGGAGGAACACCAGUGGCGAAGGCGGCCUCCUGGACCACUCCUGACGCUGAGGAGCGAAAGCAUGGGGAGCGAACAGG